Molecule: ribosomal RNA, 450 nt
Filed under: uncultured bacterium
Lineage: Bacteria
Description: partial 16S ribosomal RNA
Rfam family: Bacterial small subunit ribosomal RNA
Source: RNAcentral
GUGGGGAAUAUUGGACAAUGGGCGAAAGCCUGAUCCAGCCAUGCCGCGUGUGUGAAGAAGGUCUUCGGAUUGUAACGCACUUUAAGUUGGGAGGAAGGGCAGUAAGUUAAUACCUUGCUGUUUUGACGUUACCGACAGAAUAAGCACCGGCUAACUUCGUGCCAGCAGCCGCGGUAAUACGAAGGGUGCAAGCGUUAAUCGGAAUUACUGGGCGUAAAGCGCGCGUAGGUGGUUCAGCAAGUUGGAGGUGAAAUCCCCGGGCUCAACCUGGGAACUGCCUCCAAAACUACUGAGCUAGAGUACGGUAGAGGGUAGUGGAAUUUCCUGUGUAGCGGUGAAAUGCGUAGAUAUAGGAAGGAACACCAGUGGCGAAGGCGACUACCUGGACUGAUACUGACACUGAGGUGCGAAAGCGUGGGGAGCAAACAGGAUUAGAUACCCGAGUAGUCC